CAGCCGCCGCGGUAAUACCGAGGGUGCGAGCGUUAAUCGGAUUUACUGGGCGUAAAGCGUGCGUAGGCGGCUUUUUAAGUCGGAUGUGAAAUCCCUGAGCUUAACUUAGGAAUUGCAUUCGAUACUGGGAAGCUAGAGUAUGGGAGAGGAUGGUAGAAUUCCAGGUGUAGCUGUGAAAUGCGUAGAGAUCUGGAGGAAUACCGAUGGCGAAGGCAGCCAUCUGGCCUAAUACUGACGCUGAGGUACGAAAGCAUGGGGAGCAAACAGGAUUAGAUACCCCUGUAGUCCCUGUCUCUUAUAC
This 301-nucleotide ribosomal RNA is filed under the name uncultured bacterium. RNAcentral's name for it is "partial 16S ribosomal RNA". It matches the Rfam family "Bacterial small subunit ribosomal RNA", at positions 509 to 807 of the family's 1533-position model. The record is from RNAcentral.